CCCGAUGGAAAAACCUGGAAGUAUGCUUUGAUUCGCCCGAGAUCAACUACCGCUAGCUUUUGAACACUUCGUCCGGUGUUGCUUUGCUCUUCGCGUCCAAAUGUCGUAAGCUCUCCUUGUCCGCCGUGGCUUGUACCUGAAAAUAACGCACAAAAAAAACGAGGGGAGCUGCCUAGCUUGGGAAAGGGGGAGGGGUUGCCUUACU
Molecule: long non-coding RNA, 205 nt
Filed under: Nicotiana benthamiana
Lineage: Eukaryota; Viridiplantae; Streptophyta; Magnoliopsida; Solanales; Solanaceae
Description: long non-coding RNA (NBEN_LNC000283)
Source: RNAcentral